GCGAAUCAGCGGUUGUCACGUGCUUCUGUCUACUGCCUCCGCGAUACGGUGAAGGAGAGCACGAAGCACAAAGAGGAAGGCACACGCUUCAGAGAAAACGAAUCAACGCCAGGCGAACGCAGCAUCGCAUUAGGAGUCUUGCUCGUCGCUUGUUGUCACUGAUUCGUGUUUAUUAUUUCACACUCCGCAUGCAUUCUGGUGCUGCCUCAGCGAAGGUGAUUGCAUGCGAGAAGCCUUUGUGUGAGAGCUAACGCUUCCUUUUUCUGCUGUUUUUUAUGGUGUGCUCCACUGCCACCGCCUCCACAUCACUAUACUGUCCCCUCAUGCUCACCACAGAAUCAUGUCGGAGGAUCUCGAUAGUUGGGAUGCCUACCGCCUCUUCUGCAUAUCUGCAGCCGCCGCCGACGGCGACGAGGGCGAGCUGCAGGAUCGCCUCGGGAUCGUGGAAGAAUAUCUGACCGAGUACGAGGGGCUGUGCCGCGUGUUUCACAAGGCGCAGCGCACCACGCACGCGCAGGAAAUCCGCCGGCUACUCGCAGACGAAGCAGAGGAGAGAAGAUUUUUGAAAGAAGACGCCGACUCGCUGCCGUGGAAGCUCUUUAUCGAUAUGUCCUUUGCAUGUGCGCAGGAGCUGGUGGUAGAGCACGAGACGAAGAUGCGCCACGGUAUUGUGGUCGCGUACACCGCGUCCUUCACGGAACUGCUCUUCCCUUAUGAGACGCUGCAGCGAAUGCGGCUCACAUGGGAAGCACUCGACUCACUGGCACUGAAGGCGUGCAUUGUUGGCCGAUACGGUGUCCGCGAAGGCCAGCUGGCCCGUACCAGCAUCCCGGGGUAUACAGCUGACUCAACAUUUCCACCCUCUGCACGUGCGGCAGCAGCAGCUGGUACGGUGCGCAGUCUUCUCGCGGAAGAGCAUCAGGAGCGCCAAGAGAUAAUAGAGGCACGUGGGCAGCACGUUGCAGCCGCCCUACUUCUCCUGGCCUCUAGCGAGAAGUUCCGUAGUUUCGCCUCUGCCUCGGUGUGUGGCAUGAGGCUCUUGCCACAGCUUAGGAGCAAUCUUGCAUCGACAGCACGCCAGGCGCUAGACAACAGUGCAACCCGCAUCCAGUCCGCAUACCGAGGCUAUCGUGUGCGUGCCAUGCGCGCUAGGUCAUGAUAACGGCGAGAGACACGAGCAGGGCUAUUGCUUGGUUCUCCUCUCUCACUCUGUCUGAGGGACAUUCUCUCUCGAGUAGCGCCUUUGUCCCGUGCCUUGCACACACGCAUCAUACAUAUAUAUAUAUAUAUAUAUAGUUUUUGGUCUAUGCGCUGUGAAGCACCUUUCCGCCUUCUAAAGAGAGGCGUGCAUAUGCGCGGGCGUCAGUGAUGUACAAGAAGGUGUUGUCUUCAUUGUCUUGCUUGUAUUUUUUUUUUCGUUAUUUGGUGCCUCCGCCUGCGUGAGAGAAGUCGGCCUAUUUUUUGUUUCUCUUCCCUCGCUGCCGCUGCAACGCAGAGACAGCCGCGGUGAGCACAUGGAAGACGCAGAAGG
This 1531-nucleotide unclassified non-coding RNA is filed under the name Leishmania donovani. Its description in RNAcentral is "gene:LdHU3.33.2890(CDS-product:hypothetical_prote in_conserved)". The record is from RNAcentral. Lineage: Eukaryota; Euglenozoa; Kinetoplastea; Trypanosomatida; Trypanosomatidae.